CAGUCGAGCGAGUCUGCCUUGAAGAUCGGAGUGCUUGCACUCUGUGAAACAAGAUACAGGCUAGCGGCGGACGGGUGAGUAACACGUGGGUAACCUGCCCAAGAGAUCGGGAUAACACCUGGAAACAGAUGCUAAUACCGGAUAACAACAGAUGAUGCCUAUCAACUGUUUAAAAGAUGGUUCUGCUAUCACUCUUGGAUGGACCUGCGGUGCAUUAGCUAGUUGGUAGGGUAACGGCCUACCAAGGCGAUGAUGCAUGGCCGAGUUGAGAGACUGAUCGGCCACAUUGGGACUGAGACACGGCCCAAACUCCUACGGGAGGCAGCAGUAGGGAAUCUUCCACAAUGGACGCAAGUCUGAUGGAGCAACGCCGCGUGAGUGAAGAAGGGUUUCGGCUCGUAAAGCUCUGUUGUUGGUGAAGAAGGACGGGGGUAGUAACUGACCUUUGUUUGACGGUAAUCAAUUAGAAAGUCACGGCUAACUACGUGCCAGCAGCCGCGGUAAUACGUAGGUGGCAAGCGUUGUCCGGAUUUAUUGGGCGUAAAGCGAGUGCAGGCGGUUCGAUAAGUCUGAUGUGAAAGCCUUCGGCUCAACCGGAGAAUUGCAUCAGAAACUGUCGAGCUUGAGUACAGAAGAGGAGAGUGGAACUCCAUGUGUAGCGGUGAAAUGCGUAGAUAUAUGGAAGAACACCGGUGGGCGAAGCGGCUCUCUGGUCUGUUACUGA
This 724-nucleotide ribosomal RNA is filed under the name uncultured bacterium. RNAcentral describes it as "bacterial SSU rRNA". It matches the Rfam family "Bacterial small subunit ribosomal RNA", at positions 59 to 743 of the family's 1533-position model. The record is from RNAcentral.